RNAcentral lists this ribosomal RNA (440 nucleotides) under uncultured bacterium. RNAcentral's name for it is "partial 16S ribosomal RNA". It matches the Rfam family "Bacterial small subunit ribosomal RNA", at positions 338 to 795 of the family's 1533-position model. The record is from RNAcentral.
CCUACGGGUGGCAGCAGUGGGGAAUAUUGCACAAUGGGGGGAACCCUGAUGCAGCGACGCCGCGUGAGUGAAGAAGUAUUUCGGUAUGUAAAGCUCUAUCAGCCGGGAAGAAAAUGACAGUACCUGACUAAGAAGCCCCGGCUAACUACGUGCCAGCAGCCGCGGUAAUAAGUAGGGGGCAAGCGUUAUCCGGAUUUACUGGGUGUAAAGGGAGCGCAGACGGCUGUGCAAGUCUGGAGUGAAAGGCGGGGGCCCAACCCCCGGACUGCUCUGGAAACUGUAAAGCUGGAGUGCAGGAGAGGUAAGCGGAAUUCCUAGUGUAGCGGUGAAAUGCGGAGAUAUUAGGAGGAACACCAGUGGCGAAGGCGGCUUACUGGACUGCAACUGACGUUGAGGCUCGAAAGCGUGGGGAGCAAACAGGAUUAGAUACCCCGGUAGUC